CUCCCUUAAAAAAACUGAAUCUAUUUUUAAGUCAAAGUUUAAGACAUAAGUAUACUUUUUAUAAACUUUUGUGCAUAUCUCUACUUUCUAUUUUUUAAGUUAAUAACGAUAAUAAAUUACGAAUGUUACUCUAAUACUGUUUAUUGUUCUUCCCUGUUUCCUGCAACAAUAUUCGGCCAUGUACGGUCCUUCGUAUUUGCAUCAACGAGAGAGUACACGGCACUAUCCACCCAUGUCCAGCAUGUAGCAAUACUGCAAACUUUAAAUCUAUUUUAAGGCCAUUUAUGAAAACAAAUGUUUUUACUUUAGAACGCAGAUUUUCAAUUUUUGCUCAUAAAGGUUUUGAAUUUGUUGAACUUGCAUCAAUCACAGUCAUGGCAACGAAAGUGUUCCUAAAAUAUUUCACCAAUUCGUUUGCAAUUACCCUGGCAACCAGGGUAACCAGGGUAUUUGCAUUGCGAAUUGUCGCUAAAAUUUGUCCCUUGGGACAUCGCACUAAGUGUUUUUUUACGUUUGACGUCAUAAGAAAGGUCUAUUAUCUGAACUUCGUGUUUUCGAUCGUUUCCACGAAACAACACUUCUUGCACCAAAACCAAAGGUGAUUGGUGCAAAUUUUACAACAAGAAUUAGGUUAUCAAUUACGUAGGCAAUUUUCAAAUAACUCAGCAGGUUCGUGUGAGCAAAUGAUUUUAGAAACACUCCACCAUUGCCAUGACUGUAACAGAUGCUUAAUUUCUGGGAAAAGUUCUUGAAAUACACCGUUCCGGAAAGUACAUAACCAUGGCUAUAGAGUCUCGUUUAAGUCAGUGAUUGAGACCUUGGUUUUAGAGACGUAUAUCUUGUUACUGAUGACAUAACUAUAAACAGUCUUUUAUUUUCUUGGUUAGACCUAGAAAUAACACUAUUUGUAUAGGUAAUAGUAUGGUUUCGUGGGCAAUUUGAACAUGCACGAGUGAGUUUUUCAAAGACUUUGAAAAAGUCACGAGUGUAUGUUUUUUCAAAUUGCACAAGAAACCAUACUAUUACUUUUAAUAAUAUACACGAAAAUAUUAUGCAGUCACUCCUAAAUGUUUGUGUUUUUUUUUGUAUUAUUUCUGUUAUUGUUAUUAUUGUUUCAUAUUUUACGUCAAUCAGAAAGCCUACAUAGUUAAUAAAAUUUGCACUGUAAUUCUUAAUUCCCAUAUGCAAUGUCACAAGUAUGCAUAGAUAUUUGCAUGUCAAACCAAGACGAGAUUUUCACAUCUGCAAGAAAGCGAGUUCCCAAAAUACUUGGUGUAUUUUGGUGUAUUUCAGUUAUUUUGAAUAUUCUUAAAAUACAAUCAUAAAAAUGUGAAAUUCGGUUAAAUGCCCUUCACGACUGCAAAAAUUUACUUUCAUUAGAUUUAGUAGCAUAAAAACAUUUGUUUUUGUAAAGUUGACCUUAAAUAUCGAAACCACAUAUCCUGAUACCAAAAUACAAAUUGAACUAAGUUUCCUACUAUUUUAAACUAAAAGUAUUUAUGGUGUACAUGACAAUUAUCUUUUGUGUGGUGUGGGAUACCUAACCGUUAUGGCCCUAACCCAAGAUGGCGACACCAGUGUCGACAUAACCAAUAAUUAUGGCCCAAUUAAUAAAUAUUUGAAUGGUGACGAUGAAACUUCAGCCAAACAUUUCUUGUGAAGCGUAGACCAUGUACAAGAAUCCAUCUUCAUCCUUUUCUUCGCGAUAAAGUUCUAACAUUGUUGUUGACAAACUAGCAAAACUUUUGUUGUUUACGAUGAGGUAAAAAGCUUGACUUGAUUUCAGCUUCAUUCGAUUUCUGUUAAAAUUGAAUAAGCUAAUAAAUUCAGGCUACCUGGCAAAGAAGUUGAAGGCAAGGCAAAAUAGAAUAGUUAGUGUAUGUAAGUGUAUACUAAAGCCUCAGUCAAACGAGGAUGAGACUUGAGAAGCGAGAGUUUGCAUAGGACGGACGUUUCUCUCGUGACUGGGUCAAAGUCGAGAGAAUAACAGUUGCACGAGAGUUGAUUAGAGACAGAGUUAUUGGAUAUAGUCC
This 2033-nucleotide long non-coding RNA is filed under the name Paramuricea clavata. The record is from RNAcentral. Lineage: Eukaryota; Metazoa; Cnidaria; Anthozoa; Malacalcyonacea; Plexauridae.